GACGAACGCUGGCGGCGUGCUUAACACAUGCAAGUCGAACGGAAAGGCCCUGCUUGCAGGGUACUCGCGUGGCCAACGGGUGAGUAACACGUGGGUGAUCUGCCCUGCACUUCGGGUUAAGUUUGGGAAACUGGGUCUAAUUCCGGCUAGGAGACAUAUUUAGUGUGGUGGUUGGAAAGUUUUUUCGGUGUAGGAUGAGCUCGCGGCCUAUCAGCUUGUUGGUGGGGUAAUGGCCUAACAAGGCGGCGACGGGUAGCCGGCCUGCGAGGGUGUACGGCCACAUUAGGACUGUGAUACGGCCCAGACUCCUACGGGAGGCAGCAGGGGGGAAUAUUGCACAGUGGGCGCAAGCCUGAGGCAGCGACGCCGCGUGGGGGAUGAAGGCCGUCGGGUUGUAAGCUCCUUUCGCUAGGGACGAAGCUUUUUUGUGACGGUACCUAGAUAGAAAGCACCGGCUAACUACGUG
RNAcentral lists this ribosomal RNA (466 nucleotides) under uncultured bacterium. Its description in RNAcentral is "partial 16S ribosomal RNA". It matches the Rfam family "Bacterial small subunit ribosomal RNA", at positions 28 to 507 of the family's 1533-position model. The record is from RNAcentral.